UUACGGUUUGGGAAUUCCAAAUCUUCAAUCAAUUUUCAAAAUCCACGGUGGAAUCUUGAGUUAUUUGAAAUUCUAGUUUGAAACCCUAGAGAGUGUUCUUGUGAAUUUUUGAUGAAAAUAUCAGUAAUAUGGUGUUUUGGAAUUGAAAUUCCGUGUUUAAGCUGAUAAGGGGGUGAAAAAUACCCAAUAUACCCUUAAUGAGACGGAGUUUAAAAUGCUGAAAUUUCCAGGUGCGUGCAGCGGAGCAUGCGUUGCAUACUUUAGUCCUCCGGACUUGAGCGUGCAUCGCAUGGUGCCAGGGGUGGAAUGGACCAUGCGACGCAUGCAAAUCGCCUGAUGCCACUGUUUUGGGCAUCCAAACGUACCCUAAACGAGGUCCAAAAAUCCCGAAACUCACCCAUUAUGUACUAACGACUUGCCCCAUCGUGAAUCAACAAAAAUAUCAAGAAACGGAGGUCGGGAAGGUUGUCAAAAAAAUCCGCAAAAAUUGAAAGCUCAAAAUGAGACUAAGUCUCUUUAACACUUAGAAAAAUUUCUAGUCUUUUCAACUCUAUAAGCAUACUACUAGGAGCUAACACAUGCACGAAUUUUAUAGGGUGUUACACUUUCCAUUGAAGAUUGCCCCAAAUUGAUGGUAUGGACUUCAUACACAUUACCUCUCCAGAUCCCAUUAUGUGAAAAUACACUGAGUAUGUUGUUGUUGUUGUAUCUAAUGCAUCAUAUUGAGCCCGACUAAUCUAGAUUUGCGUUAGAAAGUUGGUAACCCACAUUACAACCCGACCAAUCCAGAUUUGGGCUAGGAAAUAGGUACCCCACAUUGAAGACCGACUAAUUCGAAUUUAUGUCAGAAGUCCCACUAUGAAAGUAAAGCCACCUUACCACGUUACUGAACCAUUUUUCAAUUUGUGCGUGUUUAGGGGCCAUUGCUUGAUUUGCUUACUAAGGUUUUUUGUUUAAUGAACCAUUUUUCAAUUUGUGCAUCUCAUUAUCCUGCAGUGGCCAAUGCUCAUUUUUUUUACUAGUGUAUUUGGUUACUGAACCAUUUCUUGAUUAUUUUUUUUUUCUUAUUUGUAGAAGAAUGAAGGAGGAGAAAAGAAGAAGAAAGGAGGAGGAGAAGAGAAUAAGAAGGAUGGAGGAAACUUAAGUGUGGUUUUGAAACCAGAUUGUAAUUGUGAAGGAUGUGCUACAAAAGUGGUCAAAGCCAUUCGAAGUGUUGGAGUUGUGGAGAAAGUUAUGCGUGAUGUAGAUUCGAAGAAACUAACUGUGAUUGGAAAAGUUGAUCUGGUGAUGUUACGAGAGAAAGUUGCACAGGAAACACGCAAGAAUGUUGAAGUUGUCUCUCCGAUACCGAAAAAGGACGGUAAGGGAAAAGGAGGUGGCGACAAUGGUGGUGAUAAUGUCACCGGAGAGGAGAAGAAGAAGAUGCAGAAGCAGAACAAGGAAAAGGAUUCAAGGGAGAACACAGGAGGAGAAGAUAAAAAAACCAAAGAGAAAGAG
Molecule: long non-coding RNA, 1497 nt
Organism: Capsicum annuum
Lineage: Eukaryota; Viridiplantae; Streptophyta; Magnoliopsida; Solanales; Solanaceae
Exons: 2
Source: RefSeq, a predicted model, not a curated record